ACACGGAGCUUGCUCUGUGGGAUCAGUGGCGAACGCCUUAGUAACACGUGAGCAACCUGCCCCUGACUCUGGGAUAAGCGCUGGAAACGGCGUCUAAUACUGGAUAUGUGACGUGACCGCAUGGUCUGCGUUUGGAAAGAUUUUUCGGUUGGGGAUGGGCUCGCGGCCUAUCAGCUUGUUGGUGAGGUAAUGGCUCACCAAGGCGUCGACGGGUAGCCGGCCUGAGAGGGUGACCGGCCACACUGGGACUGAGACACGGCCCAGACUCCUACGGGAGGCAGCAGUGGGGAAUAUUGCACAAUGGGCGAAAGCCUGAUGCAGCAACGCCGCGUGAGGGAUGACGGCCUUCGGGUUGUAAACCUCUUUUAGCAGGGAAGAAGCGAAAGUGACGGUACCUGCAGAAAAAGCGCCGGCUAACUACGUGCCAGCAGCCGCGGUAAUACGUAGGGCGCAAGCGUUAUCCGGAAUUAUUGGGCGUAAAGAGCUCGUAGGCGGUUUGUCGCGUCUGCUGUGAAAUCCCGAGGCUCAACCUCGGGCCUGCAGUGGGUACGGGCAGACUAGAGUGCGGUAGGGGAGAUUGGAAUUCCUGGUGUAGCGGUGGAAUGCGCAGAUAUCAGGAGGAACACCGAUGGCGAAGGCAGAUCUCUGGGCCGUAACUGACGCUGAGGAGCGAAAGGGUGGGGAGCAAACAGGCUUAGAUACCCUGGUAGUCCACCCCGUAAACGUUGGGAACUAGUUGUGGGGUCCAUUCCACGGAUUCCGUGACGCAGCUAACGCAUUAAGUUCCCCGCCUGGGGAGUACGGCCGCAAGGCUAAAACUCAAAGGAAUUGACGGGGACCCGCACAAGCGGCGGAGCAUGCGGAUUAAUUCGAUGCAACGCGAAGAACCUUACCAAGGCUUGACAUAUACGAGAACGGGCCAGAAAUGGUCAACUCUUUGGACACUCGUAAACAGGUGGUGCAUGGUUGUCGUCAGCUCGUGUCGUGAGAUGUUGGGUUAAGUCCCGCAACGAGCGCAACCCUCGUUCUAUGUUGCCAGCACGUAAUGGUGGGAACUCAUGGGAUACUGCCGGGGUCAACUCGGAGGAAGGUGGGGAUGACGUCAAAUCAUCAUGCCCCUUAUGUCUUGGGCUUCACGCAUGCUACAAUGGCCGGUACAAAGGGCUGCAAUACCGUGAGGUGGAGCGAAUCCCAAAAAGCCGGUCCCAGUUCGGAUUGAGGUCUGCAACUCGACCUCAUGAAGUCGGAGUCGCUAGUAAUCGCAGAUCAGCAACGCUGCGGUGAAUACGUUCCCGGGUCUUGUACACACCGCCCGUCAAGUCAUGAAAGUCGGUAACACCUGAAGCCGGUGGCCUAACCC
RNAcentral lists this ribosomal RNA (1360 nucleotides) under Microbacterium paraoxydans. RNAcentral describes it as "bacterial SSU rRNA". It matches the Rfam family "Bacterial small subunit ribosomal RNA", at positions 71 to 1441 of the family's 1533-position model. The record is from RNAcentral. Lineage: Bacteria; Bacillati; Actinomycetota; Actinomycetes; Micrococcales; Microbacteriaceae.